This 200-nucleotide ribosomal RNA is filed under the name uncultured bacterium. RNAcentral's name for it is "partial 16S ribosomal RNA". It matches the Rfam family "Bacterial small subunit ribosomal RNA", at positions 8 to 203 of the family's 1533-position model. The record is from RNAcentral.
AGAGUUUGAUCCUGGCUCAGAACGAACGUUGGCGGCGUGGAUUAGGCAUGCAAGUCGAACGAAGACGGGGUAGCAAUAUCCCGGACUGAGUGGCGAAAGGGGCAGUAAGGCGUGGGUAACCUACCUUCGGGACGGGGAUAGCCUUCCUAACGGGAGGGUAAUACCCGGCGACGUAGCGAGGGGGCAUCUCCUUGUUACCA